UAGGGAAUCUUCGGCAAUGGACGAAAGUCUGACCGAGGAACGCCGCGUGAGUGAAGAAGGUUUUCGGAUCGUAAAACUCUGUUGUUAGAGAAGAACAAGGACGUUAGUAACUGAACGUCCCCUGACGGUAUCUAACCAGAAAGCCACGGCUAACUACGUGCCAGCAGCCGCGGUAAUACGUAGGUGGCAAGCGUUGUCCGGAUUUAUUGGGCGUAAAGCGAGCGCAGGCGGUUUCUUAAGUCUGAUGUGAAAGCCCCCGGCUCAACCGGGGAGGGUCAUUGGAAACUGGGAGACUUGAGUGCAGAAGAGGAGAGUGGAAUUCCAUGUGUAGCGGUGAAAUGCGUAGAUAUAUGGAGGAACACCAGUGGCGAAGGCGGCUCUCUGGUCUGUAACUGACGCUGAGGCUCGAAAGCGUGGGGAGCAAACAGG
RNAcentral lists this ribosomal RNA (429 nucleotides) under Gemmatimonadota bacterium. Its description in RNAcentral is "Gemmatimonadetes bacterium partial 16S ribosomal RNA". It matches the Rfam family "Bacterial small subunit ribosomal RNA", at positions 355 to 776 of the family's 1533-position model. Lineage: Bacteria; Pseudomonadati; Gemmatimonadota. The record is from RNAcentral.